RNAcentral lists this ribosomal RNA (253 nucleotides) under uncultured bacterium. Its description in RNAcentral is "partial 16S ribosomal RNA". It matches the Rfam family "Bacterial small subunit ribosomal RNA", at positions 524 to 776 of the family's 1533-position model. The record is from RNAcentral.
CACGGGGGGAGCAAGCGUUGUUCGGAAUCACUGGGCGUAAAGGGCGUGUAGGCGGUCAGGUAAGUAGGACGUGAAAUCCCUCGGCUCACCCGAGGACCUGCGUCCCAUACUGCUUGGCUUGAGUAUGGGAGAGGAUGAGGGAAUUCCUGGUGUAGCGGUGAAAUGCGUAGAUAUCAGGAGGAACACCGGUGGCGAAGGCGCUCAUCUGGCCCAAUACUGACGCUGAGGCGCGAAAGCUAGGGGAGCAAACGGG